GCCAGGCAUGGUGAUGUAUGCCUGUAAUCCCAGCGACUCAAGAGGCUAAGGCAGGAGGAUUACAAGUUUAAGGUCAUCCUCAACAACUUAGCGAGGUCCUAGGCAACUUAGUAAGACCCUGCCUCAA
This 127-nucleotide small RNA is filed under the name Marmota monax (woodchuck). The record is from RNAcentral. Lineage: Eukaryota; Metazoa; Chordata; Mammalia; Rodentia; Sciuridae.